AGAUGGCCAAUCCUAACCUGCUGUCAUGGUCAGCUAGUCCUGCAUGCAUGCCUCCUCUUGCCAGGGCAGAGGGCCACCCUCCGACUGUGAACGUAGGGUUUCUCUGUAGCUUUGGAGCCUGUUCUGGAACUAGCUCUUGUAGACCGGGUUGCCCUCGAACUCACAGAGAUUGACUUUGGCUGAUGAAGCAUAAAUGCUGAUCACGGUGCAUCUUCCUUACCCAAGUUUGUGUCAUGAUGGGUUGAAUCUGAGCUAACUAUAAAUCUCUGAGGAGGGGCUGUGGUGACUGGCAGCCACUAACACUGGGACAGCACGGCUCCUGGGAAGGAUGGAAAGUACAUGUGGAAGCACUGGAAUCCAGUUGUCACUAACACCGGGACAGCACGGCUCCUGGGAAAGUUGGAAAGAACACGUGGAAAGCACGGGAAUCCAGUUGUCUGAGCCCCGGGGUUCACCAGGGCACAACACGACUGGGGAGGGAAGGCUGGGUUCACAGAGAGGGCGAGCGCCUGUCCGUGGGGAGAAGGGGAGUGACGGAGUCCUGCCUGGGGAAUCUGGACAAGGACACUGUCAUGGUUGGAUGCUCAGUUUACUCAAGAGUGAGUGGGCCACGCAAAGCUCUCACACCAGUGGUUCAUGAACUGUGAUCUUCAGAGAUCCAAGGCACAGGUUACAGACAAAAGCCGGCUUAUGCCAACUUUUAUCUAAUGUCUUCCUUCUUGCCAUCACUUUUCCACUUUCUCCUUCCCACUGUCCCUCCUUCCUUUCCUUCCUCCUUCCCUUUCUCCUCCACUUCCUUCCUCUUUCAUUUGCUUCCUCCCCUCUUCCUCUUUACUAUUUCUCUCCUUUAACUCCACCUCCUGCCCUAUGAAUUCUUAAGAAUCCACAGUUCUGUGUUAGUUAGCUUUGCUGCCGUGGCUGGCAAAACCUCUCAUAUGACCAAGUUAGAGGAGGGAGGGUACUGGGG
Long non-coding RNA from Alexandromys fortis (reed vole), 967 nucleotides. RefSeq lists it as uncharacterized. The transcript has 4 exons. The record is from RefSeq and is a predicted model, not a curated record. NCBI's taxonomy places the organism in Eukaryota, Metazoa, Chordata, Mammalia, Rodentia, Cricetidae.